GGGCAUUGGAACAUUGAAAACCUCCGUAUAUUCAAUAGCAUCUAAUGUGGUGAUCAACAGGCAUUCGUUCCUCAGGAAACGAAUUUCUACGUCGAUCAAGGAGCGUAUUAACCAACACAAUAGGAGCUCCUAAAUCAAUGUUUUCUGCAAACAUACGUACGUGUACCAGCAAUAACGUGAAAACUAAUUACCAAAAGAGGAACAUCCGUGUAUAAG
RNAcentral lists this unclassified non-coding RNA (216 nucleotides) under Bombus terrestris (buff-tailed bumblebee). Its description in RNAcentral is "misc RNA ENSBTSG00005028734.1". The record is from RNAcentral. Lineage: Eukaryota; Metazoa; Arthropoda; Insecta; Hymenoptera; Apidae.